This 253-nucleotide ribosomal RNA is filed under the name uncultured bacterium. RNAcentral describes it as "partial 16S ribosomal RNA". It matches the Rfam family "Bacterial small subunit ribosomal RNA", at positions 524 to 776 of the family's 1533-position model. The record is from RNAcentral.
UACGUAGGGGGCGAGCGUUGUCCGGAAUUACUGGGCGUAAAGGGCGUGUAGGCGGUUUAUCAAGUCAGGUGUGAAAUUCCAGGGCUCAACCCUGGGCGUGCACUUGAAACUGGUAGGCUUGAGUGCAGGAGAGGAAAGUGGAAUUCCCAGUGUAGCGGUGAAAUGCGUAGAUAUUGGGAGGAACACCAGUGGCGAAGGCGACUUUCUGGCCUGUAACUGACGCUGAGGCGCGAAAGCUAGGGGAGCAAACAGG